GACGAACGCUGGCGGCGUGCCUAAUACAUGCAAGUCGAACGAACCGCGACUAGGUGCUUGCACUUGGUCAAGGUGAGUGGCGAACGGGUGAGUAACACGUGGGUAACCUACCUCAUAGUGGGGGAUAACAGUCGGAAACGACUGCUAAUACCGCAUAGGACAUAGGAUCACAUGAUCCAGUGAGGAAAGGUGGCGCAAGCUAUCGCUAAGAGAUGGACCCGCGGUGCAUUAGCUAGUUGGUAGGGUAAAGGCCUACCAAGGCGAUGAUGCAUAGCCGACCUGAGAGGGUGAUCGGCCACAUUGGGACUGAGACACGGCCCAAACUCCUACGGGAGGCAGCAGUAGGGAAUCUUCCGCAAUGGACGCAAGUCUGACGGAGCAACGCCGCGUGAGUGAAGAAGGUCUUCGGAUCGUAAAGCUCCGUUGUUAGAGAAGAACAGCGCAUAGAGUAACUGUUAUGCGUGUGACGGUAUCUAACCAGAAAGCCACGGCUAACUACGUG
Molecule: ribosomal RNA, 502 nt
Filed under: uncultured bacterium
Lineage: Bacteria
Description: partial 16S ribosomal RNA
Rfam family: Bacterial small subunit ribosomal RNA
Source: RNAcentral